CUCUCAAAAAAUUAAGUGUAAAUUGUUUAAUUUAAUCAAACAUUGUACCUAUUCACCUACACAUAUACUUUCUUUGGCAUACACACAGCAACACACAAUCACUGAUCCACAUACUGCAACACACAAUCACUGACCCACACACUGUUAUUCUGACACAAUCAUUGACCCACACACUGUUAUUCUCACACAAUCACUGACCCACACACUGCUAUUUUGACACAAUCGCUGACCCACACUGCAGCACACAAUCACUGACCCACACACUGUUAUUCUGACACAAUCACUAGUACACAUAUCCACAAACUCUGACCCAAACGCACACUCCAUACUCACACACAAUCUAACAUGUUAUGUACAUGCCCAUCAUUACAUUUUCACAUCAGUAGCCUAAAUACUGCAAUCUUUAACCCCUGUCUUUCCAGCAGACCCUAUUUCUCCAUACUUUUUAAUAAUCUUAAUUUUGUUUUCCCAUUGCAGUCCCCAUAUAAUCCUGUUACCAUGAUUUUCUCCCUGUGGUUGCUCCCCUACAUCUCUUCCACUAUCUGUUUAUUACAUUGUUCUCUUUCCAUAACACCUCUCUCUUUCUCUCUUCUAUUUUUGUAUUACUUUCAUUAACUUUUCUCUCCCCAUCUUACCGUUUUAAUUUCCUACCUCUUUCUGCUUCCUGUGGUCUCUCCCAGUUUUCCCCUUUUUAUUUCCUACCUCUCUCUGCUCCCUGUGCUCUCUCCCCAUCUUCCCCUUUUUAUUUCCCACCUCUCUCUGCUUCCUGUGGUCUCUCCCCAUCUUCCCCUUUUUAUUUCCUACUUCUCUCUGCUUCUUGUGGUCUCUCCCCAUUUUCCCCUUUUUAUUUCCCACCUCUCUCUGCUUCCUGUGGUCUCUCCUCAUAUUCCCCUUUUUCUUCCUACCUCUCUCUGCUCCCUGUGGUC
Pelobates cultripes (western spadefoot toad) is the source of this 926-nucleotide non-coding RNA. The record is from the annotation of a GenBank genome assembly. NCBI's taxonomy places the organism in Eukaryota, Metazoa, Chordata, Amphibia, Anura, Pelobatidae.